RNAcentral lists this long non-coding RNA (4567 nucleotides) under Phasianus colchicus (ring-necked pheasant). RNAcentral's name for it is "lncRNA (ENSPCLG00000011228.1)". Lineage: Eukaryota; Metazoa; Chordata; Aves; Galliformes; Phasianidae. The record is from RNAcentral.
CGUGAAAAGCCUCAUGUUAGUGGUAAUUGGUACAGGAAUCUCAUGAGUCUGUGCAUUACUGUCUAUGUGUGUCAGCUUCCACUGGUCUGCUUUGGAGCCUCAAGUGAACACAAGCUUGAGCUUGGGGGUUGAACUUGUGACCUACAGCACCAGCACUGUGAUGACCUUGUGCCUGAGGCAGAGUGCUAUGGGUUGGGGUGUGCUGGUGAUGGCAGAUGCAGAUGGGCUUGCUUUGAGCUUUCCACAAGGACAUCAUUGCCUGAUGUCCAUUGAUUGCCAUGGGGCUCCAUGAGCAUGAGCUCUCUGUGAGCUGCUCUACAAACCAGGUACUGCUCAUACAGUUGUCAGGCAGCUGGCUACUCCUGGAAUGAGGUGAAAGCCAUGUUCUCCUAUGAGUAGAAACUCAGGCAGCUCAGGAACAGCUCCUGGUGAGGCUAGUGAAGGGGGAAGGCAAGGGCAUGUACUCUUUGCUCAUGGGAAGAAGGCCUAAAGCAUCUCCCUAGGCUUCAGCGUGGGAAACGCAAAAUAAUUUGUGAGUAGGUGGGUUUGCUUCCUUGCCUGAAGUUGUUGGUCAGUCUUUUCAUUAAGCAAUUUGUUUGACUGCAUCCAUCCUUUCUGUUAACGUCUCGCACAGCAGAUCCAGCACCUGCCUGCCCCAGAGAUGGGACUUGGAGGAGUCUCUGCCUGUGGAGGCUGAGCCCCAGCAGUGGGACUGCUGCUUCUCAUUGCCGUGUGGGACCUGCUGGCUGGGAUGAGGAAUGGCCAGUGCCUGGGUGUCCUAAUGUUGGGCAGAGCAGGACGUGGAGCUCGUUUGUAGGUCUGAAGGCAGCAUGGACAGCUUGGCAGAUCCUUUUGUUUGGUGAUUGUGGUGUGUCUGAUAUGCUGGAAUAUGGCUCACAGAGCUCACCUACUUCUGAGGAAGCAAGUAUAGGCAACAAUUUGAGAAAGCUGAAGGAACAGAAAAGUGGCAAAACAAGAAGCAGCUGCUAUUCUCGUGCAUCCUUUUCUGUGGUGUUAGUGGGUCCCUGCGACACACCUUGUGUGAUCUGUUACCCUCUGGAUUUCUCCUGUGGUUGCGUUUUGUCUCUUCCUCUCAGGACCCUUUUGACCAUCUGUGGCUUGCGGAGAAUAUGAAAGCUCCUUCCUGUGUCCAAGAUCAAUAGCUUUAAAAAGAGAGUACAAGAAGCCACUAAUCAUCUUUUCCACCCGGCAUUAAUUUCUGAAGUGCUUCAGCGAGUUCGCUUUGAAGUUCUGUUAUUUAUUUAUUUUUAACAAGUGUCCAGAACACAAGGGCCCACCCACAUGUCCUGCAACAGGCGAUGGCUCCUCCAGUGCUGUUUGGAUGUGGGUGGGCCACGGCACUUUUUGGAAAGCUCUCCCAAAUCCUGGAAAUAAGAUUUCAAAAGCCAAUUGAGAAGUUUCCCCAUGUGCCCUGGCUGCAGUGGAAAGUGGUGCUGCUUUCCCGUCUGAAUCUUGGAUUAAGAAAAGAAGGAAAAAGGAGGGAGGGGGGGAUGGGGUGGAACUCAAUAGCAACUCUACGGGCUUAAAUGUGGUUCAAUUCCUCCGCUCUGCUGCAGCUGAAUAGGAGGAGACUGACUAAGGGAAGCUGUGUCCUUACAGCCUCCUCUUUGCAUGAGUAAAUAAGACAUUCCAGCACUGCAGAGGCAGAACUAGUGGAAAUAUAUAUAUUUAAGUUACUAAGUCAUCCACACACCUACCUGGUCUCUCUUCCUGUUUCUGCUGCACCCCAUGGCAACACCGAGGGCUGCUAUUACCACAGCAUUGCACAAGCCAGGAUUACACAUACAGCAUGGGAAUGGUUCCUCUGGAACUCUGAAGCAACACAAACAUUGGUCCUUUGCAAAUAGCAAAAAAAAAAAAAAAAAAGCUGUACUGCAAAAUGGGUGAUGUGGUAUUGGCUCACUCAGGGGUGAACCUGCCAGCAUGCUGGAGUGGGUAAGUACAUGAGCCUCGACAUUGCUUCCAGUUGUAUUUGGCCAGGAUUGUCUAAUCCAUCCUUGGCACUCAGAGAUGUUCACUUGUACACACGCCACAGAUGACUGAAUUGUAAUUGGCUGUUGCUCAGUUUGUAGGUACAGAUAAAAGCAACAUGCAUAUGUUUUGACCUUCGUACAGGUACAUUUCUAAUAGUCAGGCUUUGAAAAUGGGUUACUCCGUGUGUAGAUAUCGAAUAUAUAUGCCAACCCUGUAAGUCUGUUACUGAGUAUUAGGUAAGGAAGGAAGGCAUCUGUUGCUGGGAGAUCCCUCUUUGAAAACAGAGCAUAGCUAUCCCUUAUUUAUACACUGGAUUUACUUAUUUUUUGUUCAUGCACAUCUCUGUCAAACCCACUUCUGGCUGCCACAGAAGUGCUGAGGCACUGUGAGAAACUCUGUUUUUCCUGUUUUGCAGCACUAGUUUGGGUGGAACCAAAGUAUAACGAGGAAGCUUGAGCUGGCAAAGUUUCUUGCCCAAAUGCAUCAACAUGAAUUUCUGGGCAUCUGUGCUCAAUGUGAAGCACCUGCUCAUGUAAGGUAUGUUCUGUAAAGAUUGGAUGGUGGCCCGAUUAGAAAAGAAGAAUUCCCACAUUAGAGAAAAAUUACCUGUUGAAGGCACAACAGUGAUUGAGGAAAUCUGAGGCUCGGCAGUACGGCAGAAUAACAGAGCUAGGAGGAAAGGCUGUACAGCAGGGAGAGAGAUGUCCACAAGAAAUUAAAAGGUUGUGUAGUGAUUGCAGUAAACUGCUAACGUGCAGCACAGAGGAAAGUGGUUCCCUUUGUGUUUCUGGAAAUGCAAAAUGCAUUUCAGGCUGUCUCUCGAGGGUGAAGCACUUAUAAAGCAGUUGAAUGAUGACAGUGGAUUUCAGUGAAGCUAAAACUGAAUAGGGACAGCUGUAGACAUUUCCAUAAAGGGAAUCUCCCAGGAAGUAGUCUGUUAGGGAAUCCAAGCUUUGUGUUAGUAAACACUAGAUGCAGUGAUGCUUAAUCUUACUGGGGAUGUGUUUUCCUCAAAUUGAGUAUAAAAAUUAUGCUCCCUUUAUUCCAUUCUCCUCUGUUUCUCUCUCCUCCUUCACAUGUACAGUUGUUUCUGUUGUAUUUUUGAAGGCAGCUUUCCAUCUACUGGUGUGGGAUGAAGUCUGUUCUCUGGGCACUUGAUGUCUCAGGGUUCCAUAGCUGAUGCUUGUGCCUCUGGUGUCUCCUUCCUCGUGGCUGGCCAAUGGGACGAUGACCAAUACCAUGAUUGGGUGCAUACACACAAACUGUGGUUUUGAAGUCCUUGUACAAGUUGGACAGAUGGCAAAAGACAGCUUUGAUUGAAUUAAAAUCAAUAUAGAAGCAUUUCCAGAAUUUUUCACAUUGAAAAAAACACAAAAUCUUAGUUCUCAUACGAGGUUUCCUUGUGCCGAACAUUCAGUGUGAGACAGUUCCUGACACGAUGGCCCAAUCUCUGCCCAGGAUUACGCAGCUGAUGUGAUGUGAAUUUGGCUGAUACUAAAAAAAAAACAAAAAACAAAACUUAAGGUGGAGUUCUGGCCCAAGGAAGACAGUGGUAGCAUUGCUAAGUCAAGGCUUGGCCAGUCACUGAGGUUCCUUAUGGAUUCAUUGCUCAGGAGAAGAUGAUUCAUAAAUCAGCUGUCAGUACAUUCAGCACCAUCAACUCCAAUUACUUUGCCCUCUCCUGCUUUCAACCCAAGCAUGUGAUUUUUCUGUCGUAAUUUAGAAUUGGGGAAAAUAUUUGGUUUUGGGGCCAUGACCUUGUCUUACCAACUAAGCUUCAUUCUGAUUCAGAUACAUACAGAUGAGUUAUAACCCUCUAAAGCCCACCAAGUCCCCCUUGUAAAGAACACAGCCAUUCAGUUAUUGAGAGGGAGAGCAGAAGAGGCAUGCUGGCCAAUCCAUUUACUCCCCACUUUGUUGUGUGCAGUGCAGCUAUUCCUUAAGGUAUCUCCUGCACAAGGGAAUUCAUUGUUAGUUGUAUGCUUACUGCAAAGGCAUUUUUGUGCCUGUUGCAGCAGCUCCUGGCGAAGAAUAUGGGGUACAAGUGCUUGUGCUGACAUCAGAAGUUGCUCAGCCUGUUGGGGAUUGUACUUUUCUUGCCAUCUUCUUUCAUCGUCCUGUUUCUUUGUGUUCUGUGGAUGAAGCUGGGGCCUUGGUGCAUGUAGUAAGGGCAGGGUUUCACCACACCCUCAGAAAGGAUGUACAGCUGUCUCACUGAAUAGUAGCCAUCGUACUAAGCUGCACAAAUGGCUUAAAGCUGUGUGGCAAGGGAGGAUUUCAGGCCCUUCAAAUCUCACCCCUACCCCCAGCGAAAUUAAUGAUAUUAUUGAAGAGUUUGGAUGAGAAAAUAACACUAGAGAAAUUUGCUGUGAAAAGCUAUGAAUGUGAAAAUGUAAGAGUUUUUCCCUAUGCUUGUUUUGUGUCUUCAUCUUGUGUCCAGCAAUGCUAUUUUGGAUGCAUGUAGGAAACAGCUCUUUUUUUUUUUUUUUUCUUUUCCCUGUAACAAUAUUUCCUUCUUGUUUGCAAACAGAAAGGAAAUAAAGGGAGGGCUACACCACUGUAAGGGGUAGAU